This 77-nucleotide transfer RNA is filed under the name Phenylobacterium sp. RNAcentral describes it as "tRNA-Arg". It matches the Rfam family "tRNA". Rfam says of the family: Transfer RNA (tRNA) molecules are approximately 80 nucleotides in length. Their secondary structure includes four short double-helical elements and three loops (D, anti-codon, and T loops). Further hydrogen bonds mediate the characteristic L-shaped molecular structure. tRNAs have two regions of fundamental functional importance: the anti-codon, which is responsible for specific mRNA codon recognition, and the 3' end, to which the tRNAs corresponding amino acid is attached (by aminoacyl-tRNA synthetases). tRNAs cope with the degeneracy of the genetic code in two manners: having more than one tRNA (with a specific anti-codon) for a particular amino acid; and 'wobble' base-pairing, i.e. permitting non-standard base-pairing at the 3rd anti-codon position. RNAcentral also lists the same sequence under 2 other names. Lineage: Bacteria; Pseudomonadati; Pseudomonadota; Alphaproteobacteria; Caulobacterales; Caulobacteraceae. The record is from RNAcentral.
GCGCCCGUAGCUCAACCGGAUAGAGCACCUGCCUUCUAAGCUGGUGGUUGCAGGUUCGAGUCCUGCCGGGCGCGCCA